ACGGGGGGUGCAAGCGUUGUUCGGAAUCAUUGGGCGUAAAGCGCGCGCAGGCGGCUUGGUAAGUCAGAUGUGAAAUCCCUGGGCUUAACCCCGGAAGUGCAAUUGAUACUGACUGGCUAGAGUAUGGUAAAGGAAAGUGGAAUUCCUAGUGUAGAGGUGAAAUGCGUAGAUAUCAGGAGGAACACCGAUGGCGAAGGCAACUUACUGGCCCGAUACUGACGCUGAGGCGCGAAAGCGUGGGGAUCAAACAG
This 251-nucleotide ribosomal RNA is filed under the name uncultured prokaryote. RNAcentral's name for it is "partial 16S rRNA". It matches the Rfam family "Bacterial small subunit ribosomal RNA", at positions 525 to 775 of the family's 1533-position model. The record is from RNAcentral.